Molecule: ribosomal RNA, 679 nt
Filed under: uncultured bacterium
Lineage: Bacteria
Description: bacterial SSU rRNA
Rfam family: Bacterial small subunit ribosomal RNA
Source: RNAcentral
AGUUUGAUCAUGGCUCAGGACGAACGCUGGCGGCGUGCCUAACACAUGCAAGUCGAACGGAACCUAGAUGUUAGACUGUAGAUGUUAGAAAUUAGAACAAGGACAUGGUUGGAACUUUAAGAUUGAGCCUAAGGCUUGAGGGACCAUUGUCUUAGAUUUAAAAUCUAAAAUCUAAUGUCUAGAGUCUAACAUCUAGGCUUAGUGGCGGACGGGCGAGUAACGCGUGAGCAACCUGCCCUUAAGAGGGGGACAACGACUGGAAACGGUCGCUAAUACCGCAUGACAUAUCGGGAUGGCAUCAUCUUGAUAUCAAAGGAGAAAUCCGCUUAAGGAUGGGCUCGCGUCCGAUUAGCUAGUUGGUGGGGUAACGGCCCACCAAGGCGACGAUCGGUAGCCGAACUGAGAGGUUGAUCGGCCGCAUUGGGACUGAGACACGGCCCAGACUCCUACGGGAGGCAGUAGUGGGGGAUAUUGCACAAUGGAGGAAACUCUGAUGCAGCAACGCCGCGUGAGGGUAAGAAGGUCUUCGGAUUGUAAACCUUAGUAGUCAGGGACGAAAAAAAUGACGGUACCUGAAGAGUAAGCUCCGGCUAACUACGUGCCAGCAGUCGCGGUAAUACGUAGGGAGCGAGCGUUGUCCGGAUUUACUGGGUGUAAAGGGUGCGUAGGCGGGACUGCA